RNA transcript from Ipomoea triloba (trilobed morning glory), 4265 nucleotides. It is a transcript of the gene named pullulanase 1, chloroplastic, with no coding region annotated. The transcript is spliced from 30 exons. The record is from RefSeq and is a predicted model, not a curated record. Lineage: Eukaryota; Viridiplantae; Streptophyta; Magnoliopsida; Solanales; Convolvulaceae.
CACAGCCUUCAAAUUCCAGAAAACGGAAAUUCUGAAAUCUGUAACCACCGUCCACCGCCACGGAAAAACUAAAAAGGCUCUGAAAACAGUGAGCUGAGGAGGAGCGAGUUGGACUCAGUAACUGUUUUAAUAACUGUUUAUUCAAAUGUCAGUUACUUUUCCACCGACUCUCUGUUCUGCCAUUUCCGCUCCCGCCGGCGCCGAUUUCACCCGCCUCCGUAUCCCAACUCGGUUAUCGAAGCAGCAUCCGAUUUCCUCGACUCGGCGUCGACUCAGUGCCGACGCCAUUGUCAAAUUCAGGAAGCCUCGUAGGCUGCUUUCUCUGUGCUGCUCGACGAUGCCUCUCGAGGGAGUCGCCACAACUUCUUUGCCUUCCGAGUUGCAGAGUGUCUUGUUGUACUCCAGAGCGUUUUGGGUCAGCAGAUCAAUAAUUGCUUGGAAUGUGGACGUUGAGGAUGGUGAAUGCUACUUGUAUGCUAGCAGAGAUGCUAAAUUAUCAGUCACUGAUGAUGAAAUCCUAGGAUAUGAUGUUAAAAUUAAGCUUGAAGGAGGAGAAGACGGGCUUCCGCAAUAUGUCACUAAAAAAUUUCCUCAUAUUCAAAAUUAUAAAGCAUUCAAAGUCCCUCAAGUUAUGGAUUGUGAAAGUCUACUGAAAUGCCAAUUGGCUGUUGCUAUCUUCACCACUGAUGGAAAAUGCAAGAGUGCUACUGGGUUGCAGCUACCUGGUAUCCUUGAUGAAUUGUUCUCUUACAGUGGGCCACUUGGUGCUGUUUUUUCAAAUGAAACUAUCUCUCUUUACCUCUGGGCACCUACUGCAACAGUUGUGCGCGCUUUCAUUUAUACGGACCCAUUGGGUGGUGAAGCCUUUGAAAUAGUUGAGCUCAAGGAGAUAGAUGGUGUUUGGACUGUUACAGUCCCAAGGCAUUGGGAGGGUUAUUACUAUACAUAUGAAGUGUCUGUCUAUCAUCCCACCACCUUGCAGAUUGAGAAAUUCUUAACCUGUGAUCCAUACUCAAGAGGUCUUUCUGCCAAUGGCAAGCGAACAUUGUUUGUUGAUCUUGAUUGUGAUAAUUUAAAGCCUGAAGGAUGGGAUAGUCUGGGGAAUGAGAAACCAAAUCUGCUUUCCAUGUCUGAUAUCAGUAUAUAUGAGCUGCACAUAAGAGAUUUCAGUGCCAAUGAUCAUACUGUACAUCCUGAUUUUCGUGGGGGUUAUCUUGCCUUCACUUUGCAGGACUCAGCUGGUGUCCUUCAUCUUAAGAGAUUGUCCAGUGCUGGUCUCACUCAUAUCCAUCUGCUUCCAACCUUUCAUUUUGCUGAUGUUGAUGAUGAAAAACAUAAAUGGAAGCACGCAGAUACGGAGAAGCUGAAAUCGUUUCCACCAGAUUCAGAUGAGCAACAAGCUAUUAUCACAGCCAUCCAAAAUGAAGAUGGGUAUAAUUGGGGAUAUAAUCCUGUUCUAUGGGGUGUACCAAAGGGAAGCUAUGCUAGUAACCCAAAUGGUCCAAGCCGCAUCAUCGAGUUCCGCAAGAUGGUGCAGGCACUUAACCACAUUGGCCUCCGGGUUGUACUUGAUGUUGUUUACAAUCAUUUACAUGCAAGUGGCUGUCAUGAUGAGAACUCUGUUCUGGACAAGAUCGUUCCAGGUUACUAUCUGAGAAGGAAUACUGAUGGCGGUAUUGAGAACAGCACCUGCGUAAACAAUACAGCCAGUGAGCAUUUCAUGGUUGAACGCUUAAUUCUUGAUGAUCUUAUGUGCUGGGCUGUUCAUUAUAAGGUUGAUGGAUUUCGAUUUGACCUUAUGGGUCAUAUAAUGAAAAAAACCAUGGUGAAAGCAAAGUCACUGCUCCAAAGCUUAUCUAAGGAGGAGAGUGGAGUAGAUGGUUCAAAAAUUUUCAUAUAUGGUGAAGGGUGGGAUUUUGGUGAAGUGGCAAACAAUGGGCGUGGGGUAAAUGCAUCACAGUUUAACCUUUAUGGAACAGGAAUUGGAAGCUUCAAUGAUCGAAUUCGGGAUGCAUUACUUGGUGGAUCCCCAUUUGGUCACCCUCUGCAACAAGGUUUUGCUACUGGCUUGUUUCUGGAGCCCAAUGACCAUGAUCAGGGUGGUAAAGCUGCUUCCGAGCAUACCCUUACUGUACUAAAGGAUCACAUUCAGGUGGGAAUGGCUGGGAACUUAAAGGAUUUUGUACUAGUAAACCAUGAUGGAGAAGAGGUCAAAGGAUCUGAAAUUCUAACUCACGAUGGCAAGCCUGUUGCAUAUACUUCUUGCCCUAUCGAAACUAUUAACUAUGUGUCUGCUCAUGACAAUGAAACUCUAUUUGACAUUGUUAGUUUGAAGACUUCAAUGGAUAUUUCUGUAGAGGAGAGAUGCAGGAUGAACCAUUUGGCAACCAGUGUGAUAGCCCUUUCCCAGGGAAUACCUUUUUUCCACUCUGGUGAUGAGAUUCUGCGAUCAAAAUCACUUGACCGUGAUUCGUAUAACUCUGGUGAUUGGUUCAACAGGGUGGACUUCAGCUACAAUUCUAACAACUGGGGUGUUGGUCUACCCCCAAAAGAGAAAAAUGAGAGGAGCUGGCCACUAAUAAAACCUAGAUUGGCUGAUCCCACUUUCAAGCCUCAGAAGAGUCACAUCAUUGCUGCUGUUGAAAACUUUUGUAAUCUUUUACAAAUCAGGUACUCCUCACCGCUUUUUCGUCUGCGCACGGCAAAUGCUAUUCAGGAAAGGGUACGAUUUCACAAUGUUGGCCCAUCAUUGGUUCCAGGUGUGAUAGUAAUGAGCCUUGAAGAUGGCUAUGAGGGAUUUCCAGGGCUUACUCAACUGGAUCCAAAAUAUUCAUAUAUAGUCGUUGUCAUCAAUCCAAGCCCAACCGAAGUCUCAUUUACCAGCCCUGCACUAUGUGCAAAAUCUCUUCAGCUGCAUCCAGUACAGAUGAACUCGAGUGAUACUACUGGCAAGAAUUCAACAUACGACGCUUCUGGUUGCUUCAAAGUACCGGCCAGGACAACAGCUGUCUUUGUUGAACCUCGAAAGGGUUGAGUGCAUCAUUGUGCAACACAUCACUUAAAGUUGUUAUACCCGCAGAAUUUGACUCAUUAAGGAGGACAACUUGCAGGUAUUUCAUGUUUAUUCAAAAAUCAUGGGGGACCAGAAAAGGGUCUUCAUGAAUCUACCUUGAGGGUAAGCUCUUGAAAACACUGCUGCACAUUAAAGCUAGUUUUAGCACUGCAUUCAUAAAAGAUACACUUGUGCUCCCGCGCAAACGCCAUUCCUUCCGAUGUAGCUACAACCCUUUCAUCAUCCUGAGAAUAAGAUCACCAGUCAAAAGAAGACAUACACAACAAGAAUAAACCACAGAAUCUGAGCAGGACUCACUCACCCUGUCUACUUUGUUUGCAACCAGUAUCUUGAUACAAUCCUGAUUCGUGGAGUAACGUUCUAUCUCCUUCGCCCAUAUUUUGGUUAAGUUGGCAAAGGUCUCCGGCCUUGUCACAUCAUACACUACAACCAAAAGAUGAAUUGCCAUUUGCUUCAAAAGAAGAAAACUCAGGGGACUUUGACAAAAGAAGAUAUUUCAGUUGCAGGUAGCAGAAGAUACCGAGUAUGAUUCCAUGAGCCCCUCUGUAAUAAGAGCUUAUUAAUGUCCCAAAUCUCUCCUGCCCAGCUGCAUUUACAACAGCCUGAUCUUGAAGUCCACACCUGAGAGGAACAUGAUGUUCAGAAACAACAGAGAACAUUAUGUUACAUUAUGAAGAGUGAUGAAGCAGAGGAGAAUACCGAUGGUGGGAGAGAGAUGGUGAGAGAAAUAGGGAUGAGAGAUAAAGCUGAGAAGAAGGCUACUCUUGCCGACACCUGAAUCUCCAAUCAGCAGAAUCUUGAAUGAAUAUUCAUACCUGCUGUUGCAUCCACUCUCUUUUCUUGUCCCCAUGAUCACUUCCUUCUUCCUUAAUUCCGCAUAACUUUUCUUUCCUCAGCCAGGCACCUUGGUUUCCUCGAAAGUGCAGAGAGAGAAAACAAGAGAAGAUCCGAAGACCAAAUGCAACUAUGCAAGGUAAAUAGUGAAGAGUUUUUUAAAAGAUUUUAGUGGGAAUUUUUAGUUUCGAAAAACCGUAGAGUGUCUUGUCGUUGGGACGGUCGUGCCGCUUCGUCAUCGUAAACGCAGGCGGAAACUGUCACCGCGGGUGCAUUUGUUCCCUUUCCCCAUGCGCCUUUUCUUGGAUCGCCUAUUUUUGGCAGGCGGCGAUUUCAAAUUUGAUGACGAAUUUUUCAA